CAGUGAUACAGGAGACAUGCGAAGUGCUGUAGUCGCUGUAAUAAUGUGCAGCAUUUUGGUUUGCCUAAGCGUUGUUCAGUAUUCAGAGAGUGAUAUGAAACCGGACAUUUUUUCGAUUUUAACUGGAAAACGUACACCAUUCAAGAACUGCUACAGAGCCGGAGCUAUUUGCAGAAGUUUCAUUGACUGCUGCCAAAAUUACUCGUGUAUUGAUUUUACAUGUUUAUACGACUACACUACGCCACAACCGGGCGUUACGACUCAGACUAUCUGGUGACUUGCCAUCCAGAAUUUCAAACAAUAAAAUCUGAUAGAAAAUUA
This is a non-coding RNA of Dermacentor albipictus, 321 nucleotides long. NCBI's taxonomy places the organism in Eukaryota, Metazoa, Arthropoda, Arachnida, Ixodida, Ixodidae. The record is from RefSeq and is a predicted model, not a curated record.